CUGACCUCGAUCAGACGUGAUUACCCGCUGAAUUUAAGCAUAUUAUUAAGCGAGCGAAAAGAAACUAAACAAGGAUUCCCCUAGUAACGGCGACGUGAACGGGGAAGAGCCCAACACCGAAUCCCUUGGCGCAAGUCAACGGGAAAUGUGGUGUUAAAGUAGCCCUUCGUGUCAGUCUAGCGCGUCUCAAGUCCACCUGAUUGUGGCUCAAGCGCCCAGAGAGGGUGUAAGGCCCGUAGAGACGCUCCGACUGAUUCCUGGGGUUUACCUACGAGUCGGCUUGUUUGGGAAUGCAGGCCAAAGCGGUGCGUAAACUCCAUCCAAGGCUAAAUACUGGCACGAGUCCGAUAGCGGACAAGUACCGUGAGGGAAAGUUGAAAAGAACUUUGAAGAGAGAGUUCAAUAGUACGUUGAAACCGCUUAGACGUGCAAACGCCGAUGAGGUGCUCAUACUGGCCUGAGGAAUUCAACUGCCUGACGGUGCGUGACGUCCUGGCUGGCUGGCGUUCCCGAUCUCUCUUUUGGGACGGGCGCUCGGUUGGCUAUCAGCUCCGACAUGGUGCACUUUCCUUGGUGGCCUCCGCCACGACCGACGACACUGGCUACCCGCGGCUGGGGUAAGGUGACAAACUUCUGCUUCGGCCAAUUUGUGUUAUAGACCCCGGCGUCGGACAUGGUUUGGCCAGGACGUCGAGCUUGCGAGCGCCGCUCCUUGUGGGCUCGCACUGUUGGCUAGCUUGGCUGCGCCGAUGCUUGCACUGGACAACCAGUACAGGUGACGGUUGUGGUCUUGUCGGUUCUAGUUGGCCUCUGCUGCGAAUUUGGGCGCCUAUAGUCUCGUGGUUGUACUUGUGGGGUAGACUAUCCGACCCGUCUUGAAACACGGACCAAGGAGGUCUAACAUCUCGGCGCACGCAGUCAUGGGAUUUUCUACGAAACCCAAAGGCGCAGUGAAAGUAAAGGCCUGCUUCUCGUAGGCUGAGGUGGGGAUCUCGUGCAUCGCGAUUGGCGAGCGCACCACCGGCCCGUCCUAUCUGUCUCUGUCAGUGGGGCGGCGCAAGAGCGUACACGUUGGGACCCGAAAGAUGGUGAACUAUGCUUGCGCAGCUCGAAAGUCAGUGGAAACACUGAUGGAGGAGCGCCAGCGUUUCUGACGUGCAAAAUCGAUCGUCAAACGUGAGUAUAGGGCGAAAGACUAAUCGAACCAUCUAGUAGCUGGUUCCCUCCGAAAGUUUCCCUCAGGAUAGCUGGCACUCGGGAAACAGUUUUUAUCCGGUAAAGCGAAUGAUUUAGAGGCAUUGGGUCGAAACGACCUCGACCUAUUCUCAAACUUUAAAUGGGUAAGAUGCUCGUCUCGCUUAAUUGAGGCGGGCUUCACCUCUCUAUAAACGUGAAUGUGAGUGCCCAGUGGGCCAUUUUUGGUAAGCAGAACUGGCGCUGUGGGAUGAACCAAACGCGGCGGUUAAGGCGCCCAAUGCGGACGCUCAUGAGACACCACAAAAGGUGUUGGUCGAUACUGACAGCAGGACGACGUGGCCAUGGAAGUCGGAACCCGAGCUAAGGAGUGUGUUAACAACUCACCGUGCCGAAUUCAACCAGCCCUGAAAAUGGAUGGCCUGCGCUUGGAGCGUCCGGGCCCCUAUACCGUGCCGUGGGGGCGAAGCAGACAAAAUAAUCGUGUGGGAUGUCCCAACGAGUAGGAGCGUCGCCGUGUGUGAGCGCAGAAGGUGCGGCCGUGAGGCCGGCUGGAGCCGCCACGGGCGCAGAUCUUGGUGGUAGUUAGCAAUUACUCAAGUGAGAACCUUGAGGACUGAAGUGGAGAAGGGAGGGUUCCAUGUGAACAGCAGUUGAAAAACAUGGUUCAGGCGUCCUAAAUCGGCCUAAGCGAUUCUAACUCCGUACCUAGACGAGCAGGUGACAACUAUCACUGAUAAAAUACCAAUUGUGAAGCUGUUAUAGCCUCUUCCGGAGCGAAAGGGAAUAUCGUGUUAUAUAUUCACACUCCCACCUUACCGUGGAGAUCCCCCUUUCGGGGCGGCUAGUGCCCGGUAACGCCAAACAAACGAACACAGAGACGUCGGCUCGAGCCCCGGAAGAGUUCUCUUUUCUUUGUAAGGAGCUGUACCCCCUGCCGAAUCGGCUUGUCCGACGGAGAUAGGGGCGUGGCUUCCGCUAAAGCAGCGCCGGUCUUCCGCGUCGUCCGGUCCGGCACACUCUAGUCGGCCCUUGAAAAAUCUGUGGGAAGACAGUGAUUUUCACGGUAGUAGCCCGUACCCAUAUCCGCAGCAGGCUCCCAAGUGAACAGCCUCUAGUCCUAGAACAAUGUAGGUAAGCGGAAGUCCGGCGCAAAAUGGAUCCGUUAGUAACUUCGGGAAAAGGAUUGGCUCUGAGGGCUGGGUCGGAUGGGCUGGCGUAAGAAGCUGUUCCGGUUUGGUGAGGACUGGCGAGAGAGGCUUUUCGGGCUUUACUCGGACCAUGCCGAGACCAGGCAGUAGACGACGUCAAGCUGUGCUUGUCGUGUGUUUCGGCGCGCAGCUUCGUCCGGCAUACAAACAGGCCAACUCAGAACUGGCACGCGACUAGGGAAUCCGACUGUCUAAUUAAAACAAAGCAUUGCGAUGGCUGUUGCUCGUUGUUGACGCAAUGUGAUUUCUGCCCAGUCUGCUCUGA
Macrostomum lignano is the source of this 2670-nucleotide non-coding RNA. The record is from Rfam. NCBI's taxonomy places the organism in Eukaryota, Metazoa, Platyhelminthes, Macrostomidae.